UACGUAGGGUGCAAGCGUUAAUCGGAAUUACUGGGCGUAAAGCGUGCGCAGGCGGUUGUGCAAGACAGAUGUGAAAUCCCCGGGCUCAACCUGGGAACUGCAUUUGUGACUGCACGGCUGGAGUGCGGCAGAGGGGGAUGGAAUUCCGCGUGUAGCAGUGAAAUGCGUAGAUAUGCGGAGGAACACCGAUGGCGAAGGCAAUCCCCUGGGCCGUAACUGACGCUGAGGAGCGAAAGCGUGGGGAGCGAACAGG
RNAcentral lists this ribosomal RNA (253 nucleotides) under uncultured bacterium. Its description in RNAcentral is "partial 16S ribosomal RNA". It matches the Rfam family "Bacterial small subunit ribosomal RNA", at positions 524 to 776 of the family's 1533-position model. The record is from RNAcentral.